Molecule: long non-coding RNA, 687 nt
Filed under: Panax ginseng (ginseng)
Lineage: Eukaryota; Viridiplantae; Streptophyta; Magnoliopsida; Apiales; Araliaceae
Description: long non-coding RNA (PGIN_LNC008001)
Source: RNAcentral
ACCGAUCAAUCUUUAGCAUAAUUGUCAGAUAUGCAUAUCACAAUACAUAGACAAAUCGAUACAUAUCGUAAGGUGAAUCGAAAAUGAUACCGUAUUUGAUGAGUGCAUAUUAUUCAUUUAUUAUGAUUCUUUUAUGUUUAGUUUUAUUGCAUGUUUCAUGUGUAUAUGAACUUAUUAAAGUGUUUAAUGAUUUCAAGAAGAAUUGGAGCUGAAACGAGGAAAAAGUGGAGAUUGCAGAGUUUUUAGCUAAGUUGGAUGCAUGGUCUUGGCUUGGGACUUGGAUUUUAUUGUAGAGCUAUUUCCUAGCUUUACGGAACAUCUUGAAUCGUCUCAAUCAAAAUUCAUAUGAAAAAGUUAUGUUCUUUUUACCAAACGGAUAUUGAACCUUAAAGUUUGAAAGUUGCAAUUUACAUAACAGCCACUUGGAGCCCAAUUUCAACCUUGAUCCAGCUAAAAUCUUUCAAUUCUCAAAGAAUGAAAGUUGUAGAUCUCGUCGAGAGCUUCGAUUUGAUAGGUAGCAAGCCUCGUAACUCCUCAUGAAUCAAAAGUUAUGGUUGUUUUACCAAAGGACGUCGUAGCAGAAAAUGAAAAUUUUUCCCAGCGAAUUUAAGCGAGAAAAUUGGGAAAUCUUGGAUUUUUGAAAAGUUUCUAAAAGCAGAUUUUGGCAAAUUUCUACAUGGAAUGGGA